CCAUGCAAGCAGAACGGAAAGUAAUGAGUGAUUUGUGCUGAAAAUCAGGUUAGUGGCGGACGGGUGCGUAACACGUGGGCAACCUGCCCUGCUUUUCGGAAUAACGCCGGGAAACCGUCGCUAAUGCCGAAUGAUAUGAGAAGAAGGCAUCUUCUUUUCAUCAAAGAAUUUCGAAGCAGGAUGGGCCCGCGCCGGAUUAGCUGGUUGGUGAGGUAACGGCUCACCAAGGCGACGAUCCGUAGCCGACCUGAGAGGGUGAUCGGCCACACUGGAACUGAGACACGGUCCAGACUCCUACGGGAGGCAGCAGUGGGGAAUAUUGCACAAUGGGCGAAAGCCUGAUGCAGCAACGCCGCGUGAGCGAUGAAGGCUUUCGAGUCGUAAAGCUCUGU
RNAcentral lists this ribosomal RNA (392 nucleotides) under Peptostreptococcaceae bacterium canine oral taxon 004. Its description in RNAcentral is "bacterial SSU rRNA". It matches the Rfam family "Bacterial small subunit ribosomal RNA", at positions 53 to 436 of the family's 1533-position model. Lineage: Bacteria; Bacillati; Bacillota; Clostridia; Peptostreptococcales; Peptostreptococcaceae. The record is from RNAcentral.